GUCGCAAGACCAAAGAGGGGGACCUUCGGGCCUCUUGCCAUCGGAUGUGCCCAGAUGGGAUUAGCUAGUAGGUGGGGUAACGGCUCACCUAGGCGACGAUCCCUAGCUGGUCUGAGAGGAUGACCAGCCACACUGGAACUGAGACACGGUCCAGACUCCUACGGGAGGCAGCAGUGGGGAAUAUUGCACAAUGGGCGCAAGCCUGAUGCAGCCAUGCCGCGUGUAUGAAGAAGGCCUUCGGGUUGUAAAGUACUUUCAGCGGGGAGGAA
RNAcentral lists this ribosomal RNA (269 nucleotides) under Escherichia coli. RNAcentral's name for it is "partial 16S ribosomal RNA". It matches the Rfam family "Bacterial small subunit ribosomal RNA", at positions 185 to 449 of the family's 1533-position model. Lineage: Bacteria; Pseudomonadati; Pseudomonadota; Gammaproteobacteria; Enterobacterales; Enterobacteriaceae. The record is from RNAcentral.